This 64-nucleotide transfer RNA is filed under the name Pseudoniphargus sorbasiensis. RNAcentral's name for it is "tRNA-Leu". Lineage: Eukaryota; Metazoa; Arthropoda; Malacostraca; Amphipoda; Allocrangonyctidae. The record is from RNAcentral.
ACUAUUUAGGCGGAAAUUAGCGCGUUAAAUUUAGGAUUUAAGUAUGAUUGAUAAUCAAAUAGUA